RNAcentral lists this ribosomal RNA (495 nucleotides) under uncultured bacterium. RNAcentral's name for it is "bacterial SSU rRNA". It matches the Rfam family "Bacterial small subunit ribosomal RNA", at positions 29 to 518 of the family's 1533-position model. The record is from RNAcentral.
AUGAACGCUAGCGACAGGCCUAACACAUGCAAGUCGAGGGGCAGCACAAGGAGCAAUCUGAGGUGGCGACCGGCGCACGGGUGAGUAACACGUAUGCAACCUGCCUGUAAGCGGGGAAUAACCCGUUGAAAGACGGACUAAUACCGCAUAAUACUAAAUUACUGCAUGGUAAUUUAUUUAAACAUUUAUGGCUUACAGAUGGGCAUGCGCAUGAUUAGCUAGUUGGAGAGGUAACGGCUCCCCAAGGCAACGAUCAUUAGGGGUUCUGAGAGGAAGGUCCCCCACACUGGUACUGAGACACGGACCAGACUCCUACGGGAGGCAGCAGUGAGGAAUAUUGGUCAAUGGACGAGAGUCUGAACCAGCCAAGUCGCGUGCAGGAAGAAUGUCCUAAUGGAUUGUAAACUGCUUUUGCAGGGGAAUAAAGUGCAUCACGUGUGAUGUUUUGUAUGUACUCUGCGAAUAAGGAUCGGCUAACUCCGUGCCAGCAGCUGC